GAUGAACGCUGGCGGCGUGCCUAAUACAUGCAAGUCGAGCGAACAGACGAGGAUCUUGCUCCUCUGACGUUAGCGGCGGACAAGUAAGUAACCCGUGGAUAACCUACAUAUAAGACUGGGAUAACUUAGGGCAACCGGAGCUAAUACCGGAUAAAAUAUUGAACCGCAUGGUUCAAUAGUGAAAGACGGUUUUGCUGUCAAUUAUAGAUGUUACCGGGCCGCAUGAGCUAAUUGGUAAGGUAACGGCUUACCAAGGCAACGAUGCGUAGCCGACCAGAGAGAGGGACCGGAGACGGUGGGACUGGGAGACGGGCCAGACUGCGACGGGAGGCAGCAGUAGGGAAUCUUGCGCAAUGGGCGAAAGCAUGACGGAGCAACGCCGGGUGGGUGAAGAAGGUCAUCGGAUCGUAAAACGCUGUUAUUAGGGAAGAACAAAUGUGUAAGUAACUAAGCACGUCUUGACGGUACCUAAGCAGAAAGCCACGGCUAACUACGUG
Molecule: ribosomal RNA, 497 nt
Filed under: uncultured bacterium
Lineage: Bacteria
Description: partial 16S ribosomal RNA
Rfam family: Bacterial small subunit ribosomal RNA
Source: RNAcentral